AGGCUCUGGUUAAGUAGUUUCUCUUGAGGGCAGACCUUGUUAAGAACAGAACGCUCAGGUGUAUUUCUAAUUGGUUCCUUUUCCCUUCCUCCUCUUGGAAGCAUGAGCCGAUUUUUCUCUGAUAUUUACUGUGAGAACCUGGUAAAGAUUCAGGAAGUAAAACUCACAAAUUAUGGGGCCUCCUAGAUGACUGGGUUCCCCUGGAGUUUUUCACUCUCAGAGUUGUCCACACUGAGUCUCCAACAAUUCUUCAGUUAUAGUUCAGGUUUCCUUAUGCUGGCACUGGUUCCCAUGGAGGCUGCUGCUCCGGAGAGCAUGCGGCCUUCCUGCGAGGAACACAGUCUGAGGAAACAUACAACUCUCACAUGAUUGUUCAAGUGCAAAUUCUGCGCCUCUUGAUCACAGAUCGUGCCUUAUGUGCAGAGACUUUGGUUAACGCCUUAAUAGCUUUUGGAAAAGAACAUGACAAGUUCAAAUCAACCAACUUUCAAGUCAAGGCGUGCUGUGAAACACACAAAGCCAAAGUCUAACUAUAAAGGCAGAAAGAUUGAAGAUGCUGGAAUUACAGCGUUGGCAGGUCAUUUAUGUCAGACUUGUGAUUUUGACAUUUAAAAAUGGGACAUUGAGGACUGGGAUGAAGCAGAGAGCUUGGUGGAUCUCUGCACUGUCACCACCUACCACUAAGAGAGUAUAUUCUGAGACACUUGGACCUUGGAGGCAGCAUAUCCUACACUUAAGAAUAUUACUCUGAUCCAUUAUUAGAGGACUCUUCAGGCUGCAAGUAUUGAUUGGACCCUAGAUU
Molecule: long non-coding RNA, 802 nt
Filed under: Equus caballus (horse)
Lineage: Eukaryota; Metazoa; Chordata; Mammalia; Perissodactyla; Equidae
Description: lncRNA (ENSECAG00000057212.1)
Source: RNAcentral